This 624-nucleotide ribosomal RNA is filed under the name uncultured bacterium. RNAcentral's name for it is "bacterial SSU rRNA". It matches the Rfam family "Bacterial small subunit ribosomal RNA", at positions 122 to 744 of the family's 1533-position model. The record is from RNAcentral.
CAACCUGCCCACCACUUGGGGAUAACCUUGCGAAAGUAAGACUAAUACCCAAUGAUAUCUCUAGAAGACAUCUGAAGGAGAUUAAAGAUUUAUCGGUGAUGGAUGGGGAUGCGUCUGAUUAGCUUGUUGGCGGGGUAACGGCCCACCAAGGCAACGAUCAGUAGGGGUUCUGAGAGGAAGGUCCCCCACAUUGGAACUGAGACACGGUCCAAACUCCUACGGGAGGCAGCAGUGAGGAAUAUUGGUCAAUGGACGAGAGUCUGAACCAGCCAAGUAGCGUGCAGGAUGACGGCCCUAUGGGUUGUAAACUGCUUUUAUAAGGGAAUAAAGUGAGUCUCGUGAGAUUUUUUGCAUGUACCUUAUGAAUAAGGACCGGCUAAUUCCGUGCCAGCAGCCGCGGUAAUACGGAAGGUCCGGGCGUUAUCCGGAUUUAUUGGGUUUAAAGGGAGCGUAGGCCGGAGAUUAAGCGUGUUGUGAAAUGUAGAUGCUCAACAUCUGCACUGCAGCGCGAACUGGUUUCCUUGAGUACGCACAAAGUGGGCGGAAUUCGUGGUGUAGCGGUGAAAUGCUUAGAUAUCACGAAGAACUCCGAUUGCGAAGGCAGCCCGCUAAGCUGCAACUGAC